CGCGUAGGCGGUCCUGUAAGUCUUGUGUGAAAUCCCUCGGCUUAACUGAGGAACUGCACGAGAUACUGCGAGACUUGAGUUCGGGAGAGGAAAGCGGAAUUCCGGGUGUAGCGGUGAAAUGCGUAGAUAUCCGGAGGAACACCGGUGGCGAAGGCGGCUUUCUGGACCGACACUGACGCUGAGGCGCGAAAGCUAGGGGAGCAAACG
RNAcentral lists this ribosomal RNA (207 nucleotides) under uncultured bacterium. Its description in RNAcentral is "partial 16S ribosomal RNA". It matches the Rfam family "Bacterial small subunit ribosomal RNA", at positions 568 to 774 of the family's 1533-position model. The record is from RNAcentral.